Molecule: ribosomal RNA, 429 nt
Filed under: Chloroflexota bacterium
Lineage: Bacteria; Bacillati; Chloroflexota
Description: Chloroflexi bacterium partial 16S ribosomal RNA
Rfam family: Bacterial small subunit ribosomal RNA
Source: RNAcentral
UGGGGAAUAUUGCACAAUGGGCGCAAGCCUGAUGCAGCCAUGCCGCGUGUAUGAAGAAGGCCUUCGGGUUGUAAAGUACUUUCAGUCGGGAGGAAGGUGGUAAGGUUAAUAACCUUGGCAAUUGACGUUACCGACAGAAGAAGCACCGGCUAACUCCGUGCCAGCAGCCGCGGUAAUACGGAGGGUGCAAGCGUUAAUCGGAAUUACUGGGCGUAAAGCGCACGCAGGCGGUUGAUUGAGUCAGAUGUGAAAUCCCCGGGCUUAACCCGGGAAUUGCAUCUGAUACUGGUCAGCUAGAGUCUUGUAGAGGGGGGUAGAAUUCCAUGUGUAGCGGUGAAAUGCGUAGAGAUGUGGAGGAAUACCGGUGGCGAAGGCGGCACCCUGGACAAAGACUGACGCUCAGGUGCGAAAGCGUGGGGAGCAAACAGG